CGUUAUUCAGGUCGGUUAUAGCUGACAAAAUUGUUAAUUCUCGGAUACAAGAGAUUUAAGAAAAUUUUGAUUUCUAUUCAUUUUGUUUUAUCUCACUCUUUCUUUUCAAAAGAAAAUAUAACAAGAUUAAAGACGCCGUUUGAAUAGUUUUUAGGUGAUCAUCAACGGAAGCCAUAAUCCUCACUUUAUACACACCCAAGCUCAUUAGUGUAAAUCACAAAUUAAUUGUUUUGUAAACAUUUUAAAUACUUUUUCAUGAACAUUAACAAUGUAUCACUAAUUAUUUAUCAAAAUUCUAUAAAAGAUAAUCUUAGGUAAACACUCAUGGAAAUAGAAUGUCAUAAAUCAAUACAGUGGUCAGUGACCGGAAAUUUAAUUACACGUGUAUUGUCAGAUUAACUCUUCAAUCCAUUUAAAUCCCGGAGGUCAUGUUUUGACACAUGUGUAUUAGUUCGAGAUAAAAAAAAUGAAUUUUGAAUGCUUUGUUUACCUUGGGACCGUAAAUUUAGUUCGACUCAAC
RNAcentral lists this long non-coding RNA (520 nucleotides) under Mytilus galloprovincialis (Mediterranean mussel). The record is from RNAcentral. Lineage: Eukaryota; Metazoa; Mollusca; Bivalvia; Mytilida; Mytilidae.